GCAAGUCGAACGAACCCUUCGGGGUGAGUGGCGCACGGGUGCGUAACACGUGGGAAUAUACAUUUCGGUAAGGAACAACACAGAGAAAUUUGUGCUAAUACCUUAUAAUGACUCCGGUCCAAAGAUUUAUCGCCGAAGGAUUAGCCCGCGCUAGAUUAGUUUGUUGGUGAGGUAAGAGCUCACCAAGACUACGAUCUAUAGCUGGUCUUAGAGGAUGAUC
This 220-nucleotide ribosomal RNA is filed under the name uncultured bacterium. RNAcentral describes it as "partial 16S ribosomal RNA". It matches the Rfam family "Bacterial small subunit ribosomal RNA", at positions 57 to 305 of the family's 1533-position model. The record is from RNAcentral.